UAGAAGCCCUAAAAUAUGCACAACCCUAGUUAUUUUCCCUCUUGGAUUGGGCUGAGCCUUAUCCUUGUCAUCCAAGAAUUUGGUGCCGUAAACCCUAAGCCUUUUCUCUUCAAAAUUUGUGAAAACCCUAGCAUAUAAAUACAUCAUUAUGCAGCACAAUUCAGACCACCACCCCUCAUAUAUUUCGCACCACCAUCUACCACAAUUCAUUCUACAUCACAGAAACACAUUCAGCCGCAACCUUGGAGAACAAGAAACUUUGCAUUGGCUUCCAUUGGAGGAGGAGGACCUUGUGCGGCAAGCCACUUACAACCAUUGGACUUCUACGAGUUCUUUCUUCCCUCGUUUCAUUUCCAUGUUUAUUUUACUUUGCUUUUCAAUUAUUAUGAACAUGAGGAACUAAAUUCCUCUUUAGUUAGAGGUGAAUUUGAAGCCAUGGACAUAUGUUUAAUAUGCAUUGAAUUGAUUACCUUCAGUUAUUGUUUCGUAAAACAUGAAUGUGAUUUACUUAUCUGCGUUAUUGAGAACUUAUUCUUGUGUGUUGAUUGAGGAUGCAUACUUAGUUUGCAUGCAGGGAUUUGAUGCUAAAUUAUUAGGGAAUUUUACCUAAUCGUUAUAAACUUAUAAUUAAAAGUAGUGGAGAUUGCUAGUCACAAUCGUGUUAAGUAAAUUCUUAGCAAGAGUAUCAUGCAGUUAAUAGUUACAAUUGCCUUGUCAAUGCUUAUGAUUUUCAUAGAACUUAAUGAUCUUUAAUAUGUAUCUCUAUCAUGUUGUUCAUAUAGGGAACUUGAGAAGAAUAAUUUGGUUGCGAUGCCUGUCCAUUCAAUUCAAUGAAUUUAGGGAAAUCUGAAAGUUAAUUAGUGCAUUCACAAUUAAUUUGGGGCAUUGUCAUUCAUGGUUUAAAGAAACAAUACUGGAAAUCGAUUUAUGUUGCAUAUGUUUCAUGUGUGGAGAAGGAUCCUCUGGCUAAGUUUUCACCAUUCAAAUCACCCAAUUUCAUAUCUAGUUUACUUUGGUUUGCAAUCUGUUUAGUUUAGUUAAAUUUCAUCCAAAUCAAUCCCCUUUUAAUUAAGUGUGUUAGAUUAGUUAGAAACAUGUUCACAUCUGUCCAAUUUAGUGUUUUGAGUCUUACUAGUCUUAAUUUCAUCCAAAUAACUCCCUAGAGUCUGUUUUGAGUCUGUUUGCUAAUAUUGUGCUGUUUAGAGUCUGUUUAGUGUGUUUUGAGUCAUAAGAGUAUAGUUUUGUGUUUUAGAGUUUAAUUUGUGUAAAAGCGGUUUUAGUUAUCCUUGUGGUUGCAGGAUAACAAAAUAGGAUAUAGCCUAAUUCUUUUGGGAUUAAAAUUUAGUAUUGAGUUAUAUUUGGACUCAUGGGUCGUUAUGGUUUAUAUAGUUUGAAUCCUAGACUCAUUCAAAUAGGGAAUAGUGAUAGAACCAUAUUUAUGCGACUUAGUGAGCUUGUUCUUGUGCAUUUACGUUGUGUUUUAUUAGUUAAAUUAGUCUUUUAAACUAUUUUCAUGUGUUUUUAGGUUUUAAGGGCAAAGUACGCAAAGUAGUGCAUUUUGGAGCCUUUUGGAGCAAAAUUGAGCUUGGAAUGGAUAUCACAUGCUUGGAACGAAAGGAAUGGACGAGAUUGAAGGAGUCCUAAUUGAAGUAGGAUUCCUAAUCAACGGAGGAGUCCUAGUCAAAGAUGGAUUCCUAGAAGAAUGAGGAUUCCUACUCAAAUAAGGUUUCCUACUUGAAGUAGGAAAGUUAAGCCUAAAGUUUCCUAAUUUGGGUGGAUCUUUCCUAAACCAAGAUAGCCUUAAGUUCCAGCUAUUUUGAAGGUUUCCUAAGUGUUUUUGGACACAAAGAAAAGGUUCUAGAACACUCCCUAUACCUGCCGCACCAAUUUCAGCAACGAAACUUCUUUUCCUUGCCUUGCAAGGCAUUCUAGAAGCCUUAUCCUUUCUUACCUAUACCUGUUGCACCUUUUGGCCUUUUCCCUUGGGGAUUCUGAUUGUUUAAGCCUUUUUCCUUGUGGAUUUGGAUUUUACAAGUCCAUAUCU
RNAcentral lists this long non-coding RNA (2044 nucleotides) under Malus domestica (apple). Its description in RNAcentral is "long non-coding RNA (MDOM_LNC019862)". The record is from RNAcentral. Lineage: Eukaryota; Viridiplantae; Streptophyta; Magnoliopsida; Rosales; Rosaceae.